AUCAUGACCUGAGCUGAAGGCAGAUGCUUACCGGACUGAGCCACCCAGGCACCCCUGGGCCAAUAUUUUUAAGACUCUUUAAUUUUUAGCUCCUCCUAAGAUAGGUCUAGGGUUGGGCUAAUUUUUUUUCACUUGAGUGCCAUGGCCCUUUUAGAGCUUUUACUGACUGCCCCAUGGAUUCAAGGAGGUAUCUUCAGUCUGGCUGGAGGGAAUAUGCACAAGUGCAAGCCCUUUGUGAGCUCUGGGAAUCUCCCAUCUAACAGCUCUCCAGUAAUUGCUUCUCUCCUUAGAAAUUGUUCUUGUUUGGCCUCAGGGGGUUUCACCCUGUGCACAUACAGAUUGGUAUUUUCCAACUACUCAAGGACCUUUCAUGGAGACUUUGAACUCUUUCUCCACAAGACUCUCUCCUGUCUGAAACUCUGACCUACAUAUUUUAGCUACGUCUCUUUCCUUAACCUUCAGUGUCUGGCUCAACUCAGUGAAAGUUCAGUCCCUUUUAUUGUGCCCCCAUCCCCUUCUCACUUUGCGAUCUGCAAACAACCUCCUCACAGAAAACCUGGGUGAUUAUAGGGUUUACUUCAUUUUUGUCCUUCUCUCAAGAAGCACAGUUCUUCCCUAUCUGUAUUCCACGUAUGAAAAUAGAGGUUUCUUGUAUUUUGUUUGGUAUUCUAGCUGUUUACAGGAGGAUAAUUAUGGGCCCUAUUAUCCCCUCAUGCUUAGAAGCAGAAGUCCCCAGCAGACUUUUAAUAACAUUUUAUUGAGGUAUAACUUAUGUCGUAUAAAAUUAAUUCAUUGUAAGUGUACAGUUCAAUGAUUUUUUGGUAAAUUUAUAGAGUUCCGUAGUCAUUGUCACACAUUUUGAUUAGCCUAAAGAGGACCCUUAUGCCCAUUUGCAAUCAAUACCACUCCCUUCACAGCUCCAGGAAAUCAUUGAUCUGCUUUCAAUCUCUGAUGAACUGUUUUUAUGAAUAUUUCAUAUACAUGAAAUCACAUGAUAUAAAGUCUAUUGUGUCUGCUAUUUUUCACAAAGACUUAAGUUUCUGAGGUUCAACCAUGUUAGAGCACACACUCAUAGUUAAUAACAUUAUAUUCUUAAUAUUAUUACACUGUGUGAAUAUAUAUCACAUUUCAUUUAUGCAUUCACCGGUUGAUAGACAUUUCCAUCAUUCCCAGUUUUGGCUUUUAAGAAUAAUGUUGCUGGUUCCCCUUCUAUCCCUAUUCCAGUUCAGGAUGAUGGAAACUCCAUUCCAGGUGGGUAGAGCAAGAACACAAGGCUCCGUCUCCUCCCAGGAAAGGCAGGCUGCCGGCACUUCUCAUUCCUUGCCAGCUUUGUUGAAGAGGCUAAAUUCCAGCUUAAAGAGAAAAGGGUGAAGGCCCAGCUGAGAGCACAACCCCAACCCAGACAAUGCGAAGAUGGGACCUGAUAACACCGCACGCUAUAGACUGCGUCCCCCCAAAAUCUGUAUGUUGAAACCUCCCUUCCCCCACCAUGUGAUGGUCGCAGGAGGCGGUGCCUUGGAGAGAUGAUUAGGACGUGAGGGUGGACCUCUCAUGAAUGGGACUAGUGACCUUAUAAUAGAGGCCCCAGGGACUCCCUUGCCCCUUCCACCAUGGGAGGGCGCGGAUGUCCGGGAAACGGUCCUCUGUGAACCAGGAAGUGGGCUGCCACCAGACACGGAAUCUGCCAGCUCCUUGAUCUUGGACUUCCAGCCUCCAGGACUGUGAGAAGUGAGUGUUGGUUGCUUAAGCCACCCAGUUGGUGAGAUCUCUGUUACAGCUGCCCAGACGAAGCCACCACAGGAUUGCAUUUUCUUCCCUGGCCCUCACAUGGUGCAGUGAGAACGAAUGCAGCCUUUUGGGAAGAGCCACGUUUGCAAAAAUUGUUCAGCAUCGGGGAAAUAUUCCCCGGAGAGCUGCAGUUCUCCAGGACCACCACCUACAGACCCUGGUGACUGGGGCUACACAGGGGUCCGUCAGCGCUGCGGGGACGGAGCGCCCCCUGGAGGCGGCGUGCUGCAAUGCGGCAGAGGACGCGAGGCCCCUGGGACAG
Non-coding RNA from Callorhinus ursinus (northern fur seal), 2050 nucleotides. Lineage: Eukaryota; Metazoa; Chordata; Mammalia; Carnivora; Otariidae. The record is from RefSeq and is a predicted model, not a curated record.